UUUACGGGAGGCAGCAGUGGGGAAUCUUGCACAAUGGAGGAAACUCUGAUGCAGCGAUGCCGCGUGAGUGAAGAAGGCCUUUGGGUUGUAAAGCUCUUUCGUCGGGGAAGAAAAUGACUGUACCCGAAUAAGAAGGUCCGGCUAACUUCGUGCCAGCAGCCGCGGUAAU
RNAcentral lists this ribosomal RNA (169 nucleotides) under uncultured bacterium. RNAcentral's name for it is "partial 16S ribosomal RNA". It matches the Rfam family "Bacterial small subunit ribosomal RNA", at positions 338 to 524 of the family's 1533-position model. The record is from RNAcentral.